This 372-nucleotide unclassified non-coding RNA is filed under the name uncultured bacterium. RNAcentral's name for it is "contains 16S-23S intergenic spacer region". The record is from RNAcentral.
UCUCGGCUUAUCACCGGCAGUCCCCUUAGAGUGCCCAACUGAAUGCUGGCAACUAAGGGCGAGGGUUGCGCUCGUUGCGGGACUUAACCCAACAUUUCACAACACGAGCUGACGACAGCCAUGCACCACCUGUGGAUCACCCUCGAAGGCGACACCAUUUCGGGUGCUUGCAGAUCCAUGUCAAGCCCUGGUAAGGUUCUUCGCGUUGCAUCGAAUUAAGCCACAUGCUCCACCGCUUGUGCGGGCCCCCGCCAAUUCCUUUGAGUUUCAACCUUGCGGCCGUAGUCCCCAGGCGGUUCACUUAAUGCGUUAGCUGCGGCACCGAGGCGUAAGCCCCGACACCUAGUGAACAUCGUUUAUGGCCAAGACUAC